AUACAGGGGAUAACUAUGCAGGAUGCUAACUAUGCAGGUGCUAACUAUGCAGGAUGCUAACUAUGCAGGUUCUAACUAUACAGGUGCUAACUAUGCAGGAUGCUAACUAUGCAGGUUCUAACUAUACAGGGGCUAACUAUGCAGGAUGCUAACUAUGCAGGUUCUAACUAUACAGGUGCUAACUAUGCAGGUUGCUAACUAUGCAGGUUCUAACUAUACAGGGGCUAACUAUGCAGGAUGCUAACUAUGCAGGUUGCUAACUAUGCAGGUUCUAACUAUACAGGGGCUAACUAUGCAGGAUGCUAACUAUGCAGGAUGCUAACUAUGCAGGUACAAACUAUGCAGGUACAAACUAUGCAGGUGCAAACUAUGCAGGUAGUAACUAUGCUGGUGCUAACUAUACAGGGG
This is a long non-coding RNA of Oncorhynchus tshawytscha (Chinook salmon), 408 nucleotides long. The record is from Ensembl. Lineage: Eukaryota; Metazoa; Chordata; Actinopteri; Salmoniformes; Salmonidae.